This 127-nucleotide small RNA is filed under the name Marmota monax (woodchuck). Lineage: Eukaryota; Metazoa; Chordata; Mammalia; Rodentia; Sciuridae. The record is from RNAcentral.
GCCGGGCAUGAUGGUGCAUGCCUGUAAUCCCAGUAUCCUGGGAGGCUGAGGCAGGAGGACUGCAAGUUCAAAGUUAACCUUGGCAACUUAGCAAGGCCCUAAGCAACUUAGCAAGAGCCAUUCUCAA